GUCAUUGUUGUCAUCACCGUGGUCACCGUCCUCAUCAAUGGAACAACGCCCAACGGCCCACCACUAUUGAAGAUCAACAACUGAACCAUGAACCAUGCUGGACCCAUGGUGAACCUCCUCUCCCUCCUAUAAAUUGGAGUGAGACAGUGACACAUUCAGUCGUUGGAGACAGGGUUGGUAUGACAAAGUUCAUGGAGGAGAGAACUCAGCAACUUCUGAUGAAGUCAGUAAAAGCCAUCCCUCUGCUGUAAGAGAUGUGGAUUUUGAUGAACAGCAAAUCAGUCUUUUAACUGCAGUUUGAAGAGAAGGAUGUCAAUAACCAGUUCUGAAGUAGAACUAAGUAGAACUACCCACACUGAGCAUGCAUUCCAACAGUUUUUGAAGGAAUCCUGAUAAAAUCACCAGGCAAGAGAAAAGCAGCAGUGAAUUAGAGAAAUCGGAACUGAGUAAUAGAGUUCAUUAAGUGAGAAAUGGAGGAGAAAUGAAGUCCAACAGUAUCAUCCACUGGUCUUCCAUCCUCCUUCUAUCAGUAAUAUGAGCAAUGAUAACCCAAGUUUUAAGCCACUGCCUCAAUUACAGUAGAAUCCUAGAUGCUGCUGAAUCCUAGAUGUUGUUAAGGGUUACAGAGCCAUCCGGAUAUGUGGAGAUGGUCUCAGGAAAGCCAAGGCACAGGUGAAAUUAAACUUGCUGAAGGAUAUGACAAAUACCAAGAAGGAAUUCUACAGGUACAUUGGUCAGAAGUGACAGUCCAGGGAGUGAAUACCUCCUCUGAUAAAUGAGAAGGGAGAACUGGCAACAGCAAACAUGGAAAAGACUGAGAUCAACCAACAACUACGGUGUGAAAUUUGAUGAAGUUGCCUCUGUCUACAGAAAGUAUCAGAGAAGGAUACCAAGGCACCAAGGUAUCAAGGACAUAACAGUUAAACUCUUGUAUUCUUAUGGCUACUUAUCUGAUGUUCUUAGGACAAAUAAUGAUCAGUAGUAUUGUCUUGAUAUUAUGAGAAUAUGGAACAUCUCUUGAGCUGAACAACGUAACAUAGCUACAUGCUUUGUUAUAUUUGCCAAAUGUAUUCUUAUUAAAAAAUGUGCAUUAUUAUACAUUUGCUGAAAAGGUAGUAUAAAUGACCUUUGCAUGUCCUUUUUCUUCUGAUUAGAAUUAUGCACCUAUAACUUUUUACAUGAAAGUUUAGUGUGCUUAAAGACAUUUACCAGUGCAGAGAUUGCUACAUCCAGUAGUUGUAUUCAUAUUUUCAGAGAAAUUCUUUAUGGAUAAAUAUUUGAAGUAUAUGGACUAGUUAAUAGGGAUGCAACUUGGUCUCCCUAGUGUAGAAAUUUAAUACCAUUUAAACAUCCUAAGAAAUCCAGCUGUUGUGCUUUGUCUACCUUAUAGUUGUUUCA
This is a long non-coding RNA of Gallus gallus (chicken), 1398 nucleotides long. RefSeq lists it as uncharacterized. The transcript has 6 exons. The record is from RefSeq and is a predicted model, not a curated record. Lineage: Eukaryota; Metazoa; Chordata; Aves; Galliformes; Phasianidae.